This 465-nucleotide ribosomal RNA is filed under the name Vreelandella stevensii. Its description in RNAcentral is "partial 16S ribosomal RNA". It matches the Rfam family "Bacterial small subunit ribosomal RNA", at positions 338 to 795 of the family's 1533-position model. The record is from RNAcentral. Lineage: Bacteria; Pseudomonadati; Pseudomonadota; Gammaproteobacteria; Oceanospirillales; Halomonadaceae.
CCUACGGGCGGCAGCAGUGGGGAAUAUUGGACAAUGGGCGAAAGCCUGAUCCAGCCAUGCCGCGUGUGUGAAGAAGGCAUUCGGGUUGUAAAGCACUUUCAGUGGGGAAGAAAGCCUUGGGGCUAAUACCCUCGAGGAAGGACAUCACCCACAGAAGAAGCACCGGCUAACUCCGUGCCAGCAGCCGCGGUAAUACGGAGGGUGCGAGCGUUAAUCGGAAUUACUGGGCGUAAAGCGCGCGUAGGCGGUCUGAUAAGCCGGUUGUGAAAGCCCCGGGCUCAACCUGGGAACGGCAUCCGGAACUGUCAGGCUAGAGUGCAGGAGAGGAAGGUAGAAUUCCCGGUGUAGCGGUGAAAUGCGUAGAGAUAGGGAGGAAUACCAGUGGCGAAGGCGGCCUUCUGGACUGACACUGACGCUGAGGUGCGAAAGCGUGGGUAGCAAACAGGAUUAGAUACCCCAGUAGUC